CAGCGGGUGCCCGGAACAAGGCCGGGAGAAUAGGGAAGCGGGUGUAAUUCCCGCGCGGGACCGCCGCCGUAAGGGGGAGGACCGCUCCAGCGCCACUGCAUUUUUGCGGGAAGGGGGAGCGGCCCGGAGAACCUGAGCCGGAAGACCUGCCCGAC
This 155-nucleotide non-coding RNA is filed under the name uncultured Lawsonibacter sp. Lineage: Bacteria; Bacillati; Bacillota; Clostridia; Eubacteriales; Oscillospiraceae. The record is from RNAcentral.